UCUUUUAGAGUAGAGGAACUUGCAGCAGCGACAAUUUGUGCACAGGAUGUUGAUGAUCAGAUAAGGGAAAAUAGAGCGAGCAACCGGACGUGAAAGCAGGGUUUAAAGAGUUCUAAAGGGAUGAGUAACGUUGAAGAGUAUACAUAAAUACAAGUCAAUAAGUUAAGAAGAUAAUUAGGAUCAGGCUUUUGAUUAAAGAGUCCCAGAUAGGAUAAGUUAGGGAGAUGCAGAAAAGGUGUUUUGUUUCCUUUGCAGAAGAUCUCGGCGACCACAGGAGGGGCGAGGAUCCUGGAGAUCUCGAGGUUCGAGACCACCAGAGGAGGGUCUGCGUGAGGACACAAUGUAUUGUGACCUCUGGUGUUCCAGAGGUCAUGAGUGGGAGUGUCGAGAAGGGAAAUUAUUUUACUGCUAUAGUUAAAUAAUUGUCAUCAUUACCAUUGCAUUAAUAAUAAAAUCUGGAGGUUCUUGAUUCAGGGGUAGAACAGUGUGUGUCUUUCAGAAAGGCUAAAAGUCACAGGCUGACAGGAAACAGGCUUGCAGAGAGUUUGCACAAGCAGGAAGUUAUUUUAAGCAACAGUAUGAUCAUUGCUUUAACAAUGUAACAGAUAGCUUUAAGAAGGCCUUAAGAUGCUUAUGCACACAGUUAUUAUGUUUAGUAGAGGUUCCUGAUUAAAACAUUUAUUUAGUAGAAGACAUACACAUAGUCUCAGUGAGCUUCUGGUCUGGUAAAAGGUCAGAAGUGCAACAGGUGAAUUGAGAAAGAGCAUUUGAGGACGAGACACAGACAGUAGGUGAAGAGGUGACACAAAGAGCAUGUGAGACGCACACACACACACACUCAGUUAGAGAAUCAUUUAUAGGUGAAAGUUUAAUCAUGUUUUGCUGAUGUUGCAAAGAGCAGUUUGUCGCAGAACUGCUGCGAGCAUCCGGCAGUGACAGGAAGCACCUGUUGUGAAGAUAGGAGACAAUUGUUCUUUUAAACUGUGUCAAAAGUCGUUGUGGUUUUGAUUUGAUCUAUGUAUAAAAUGUGUCUGUGACGUAUGAAGGGGCGUCAGUAAACAAACCCUGAUGCUAUAAAAUAUCUGUUCAUGCUUUGAUUGAGUCGAGGACUACUGGCUGUCUGCGUACAGAGUGUCCUCCCACGCGUGUAUUCAUUAAAAUCAUCGUUUGACUUCACCCG
Long non-coding RNA from Astatotilapia calliptera (eastern happy), 1180 nucleotides. Lineage: Eukaryota; Metazoa; Chordata; Actinopteri; Cichliformes; Cichlidae. The record is from Ensembl.